AGCGAACGCUGGCGGCAGGCCUAAUACAUGCAAGUCGAGCGCGCCCUUCGGGGUGAGCGGCGGACGGGUGAGUAACGCGUGGGAAUAUGCCCUUCUCUAAGGAAUAGCCUCUGGAAACGGAGAGUAAUACCUUAUACGCCCUUUGGGGGAAAGAUUUAUCGGAGAAGGAUUAGCCCGCGUUAGAUUAGGUAGUUGGUGGGGUAAUGGCCUACCAAGCCUACGAUCUAUAGCUGGUUUGAGAGGAUGAUUAGCCACACUGGGACUGAGACACGGCCCAGACUCCUACGGGAGGCAGCAGUAGGGAAUCUUAGACAAUGGGGGCAACCCUGAUCUAGCCAUGCCGCGUGUGUGAUGAAGGCCCUAGGGUCGUAAAGCACUUUCGCCAGAGAUGAUAAUGACAGUAUCUGGUAAAGAAACCCCGGCUAACUCCGUGCCAGCAGCCGCGGUAAUACGGAGGGGGUUAGCGUUGUUCGGAAUUACUGGGCGUAAAGCGCACGUAGGCGGAUUAGUAAGUUAGAGGUGAAAUCCCAGGGCUCAACCCUGGAACUGCCUUUAAUACUGCUAGUCUUGAGUUCGAGAGAGGUAAGUGGAAUUCCGAGUGUAGAGGUGAAAUUCAUA
RNAcentral lists this ribosomal RNA (618 nucleotides) under uncultured Alphaproteobacteria bacterium. RNAcentral's name for it is "bacterial SSU rRNA". It matches the Rfam family "Bacterial small subunit ribosomal RNA", at positions 28 to 692 of the family's 1533-position model. Lineage: Bacteria; Pseudomonadati; Pseudomonadota; Alphaproteobacteria. The record is from RNAcentral.